UACGUAGGUGGCAAGCGUUGUCCGGAUUUACUGGGCGUAAAGGGCUCGUAGGUGGCCAACUAAGUCAGACGUGAAAUCCCUCGGCUUAACCGGGGAACUGCGUCUGAUACUGGAUGGCUUGAGUUCGGGAGAGGGAUGCGGAAUUCCAGGUGUAGCGGUGAAAUGCGUAGAUAUCUGGAGGAACACCGGUGGCGAAGGCGGCAUCCUGGACCGACACUGACGCUGAGGAGCGAAAGCCAGGGGAGCAAACGGG
RNAcentral lists this ribosomal RNA (253 nucleotides) under uncultured bacterium. RNAcentral's name for it is "partial 16S ribosomal RNA". It matches the Rfam family "Bacterial small subunit ribosomal RNA", at positions 524 to 776 of the family's 1533-position model. The record is from RNAcentral.